UGCCUUGUGGCGGGAGCGACGGGAGGCACAGAGGAAGGUGGUGUUGCACACAGAUGCACGAAGACGCCUGGAAUCUCAGCUAAGUCAUGUAGCUAUGGCAUUUAUUUACAUGGAACAUUUUAAGCUCAGCAAAGCAGUGUUUAGACUUUUAAAAUUACCCAAGCUGACUCUCUUUGAGGUGGAGGGUAAGACUUUAAGGCACCUAAGCAUUAAAAAUUUACAUUACUGUAUCAUCAGAAUUUGUCACAAUGGCUUGUAUUACAAAUAAAAGGGUUUCACUUUGAUAACUUUUAAAGUAGGUUAUAGAAUGGAAUGUAUAUUCCUAUUAAAAACGCCUAUUUCAGAUUAAUUAUGCUUACACAAUUUUUCCUAAGGAAAAAAAAAAAACCCAAAAACAAACAAACAAAAAAAUAAUCCAAACUUGACCUUAACUAUUUCCCAUGUAGCUGGCAGGAAAUAAGCCGAUUUCUCAUGUUCUUAAAAUGGACGACAAAGAAAAAAAUUCAUUACAUCAGAAAUACUUUUUUUUUUUAAGUUUAUUUAUUUUUGAGAGAGAGAAAAAGAGAACAUGAGCUGGGGAGGGGCAGAGAAGGGUGGGGGAGAGAGAGAAUCCCUAGCAGGCUAGGCUAUCAGUGCAGAGCCCAACAUGGCACUUGGCUUGAUCUCGGAAACUGUGAGACCAUUCCCUGAGCCAAAAUCAAAAGUCAGAAGCUUAACCGACUGAGCCACCCAGGUACCCCUUUUUAGAAAUACUUUUAAGAAGAUAUUACCUCCCUCAGUUUGUUGGUUCUUUAAAUAAUCUAGAAGUUCAGCUGAAAAUGUUAAGUUUAUGAACUGCAGGACUGAAAGAACAUACUAUAAACAUGGAACACAGCAAAACAUUUCUAAGUGAUACAAUUUUAGUCCUGUAACAUUAACAAUUCCGAAGAUAUUGAAUGAAAAUAUAUUUAUUGUAAUCAUCUAACCUAACAGUUUCAUCAAAAACACGAAUUUUAGUAGAGGAAACAACUCAAUUUUUAUUUCAACUUAAAUAGGGAACAAGUGUCUUUUGCUAUACUUUUGUUCGCACUGUGUACGAGCAAAUUGGAUAGGCCUUUUCACAGAGCACCAGGAAAGGGAUAAAAUAUACAUCCACCAAGUCCCUACCAGCGUGCCCUAGCAAAGCUGCGGCUCUAAGACCGCCAUAGCUAGAUGAGCUCAGUAUCGAUCUAUGACAGAAUGUUUUUAGCAUAAUACCAUUCACAACAUCAGUUCUCAGGAAAUGCUCAUCAGUAUGGUAGGAAGCCAGCAAACCCUUCAAGACUCCUUUCAAGGAAACCAAAGAGAAGAAUGUGUAUUCACGGUACAGUAACAAAGGGAUGGUGACAGGUUACAUCUCUCAUGUUAUUCUUGAACUUGGUCCCUGUGAGAUCUGUAUUCUACAAAUGACUGAAUCUUUUAACUUUUUACACAUAAGUUCUAACGCACCUGUUUUUUUAAUAGAGGCUUUUUAUAAUGGUGCCAUCAACUUCUGUAUUUUGUAGUCUGAGAGAGAAUCACGGGAGAAAUUCAAGUUUAUUUAGCAUCAACUUGGCAAUACCUACCACAAAUGUACUGAUAACAAUAUUAAACUUUUGUUGACACAUUUAAAAAAUUAUUUUUAAUGUUUACCUAUUUUUUUGAGAGAGAGAGAGAGGGGUGGGUGGGUGAAGCGAGAGGGAGACACAGAAUCUGAAGCAGGCUCCAGGCUCUGAGCUGUCAGCACAGAGCCCAAUGCGGGCCCCAACUUAUGAACCACGAGAUCAUGAUCUGAGCCAAAGUCAGAUGCUCAACGGACUGAGCCACCCAGGCACCACCCCCCC
Long non-coding RNA from Acinonyx jubatus (cheetah), 1841 nucleotides. RefSeq lists it as uncharacterized. The transcript is spliced from 2 exons. The record is from RefSeq and is a predicted model, not a curated record. NCBI's taxonomy places the organism in Eukaryota, Metazoa, Chordata, Mammalia, Carnivora, Felidae.